CAGCAGCCGCGGUAAUACGUAGGGUGCAAGCGUUAUCCGGAAUUAUUGGGCGUAAAGAGCUCGUAGGCGGUUUGUCGCGUCUGCUGUGAAAACUGGAGGCUCAACCUCCAGCCUGCAGUGGGUACGGGCAGACUAGAGUGCGGUAGGGGAGAUUGGAAUUCCUGGUGUAGCGGUGGAAUGCGCAGAUAUCAGGAGGAACACCGAUGGCGAAGGCAGAUCUCUGGGCCGUAACUGACGCUGAGGAGCGAAAGCGUGGGGAGCGAACAGGAUUAGAUACCCGUGUAGUCCCUGUCUCUUAUAC
RNAcentral lists this ribosomal RNA (301 nucleotides) under uncultured bacterium. RNAcentral's name for it is "partial 16S ribosomal RNA". It matches the Rfam family "Bacterial small subunit ribosomal RNA", at positions 509 to 807 of the family's 1533-position model. The record is from RNAcentral.